GUAGGGAAUAUUGCGCAAUGGACGAAAGUCUGACGCAGCGACGCCGCGUGAGUGGUGAAGGCCUUAGGGUCGUAAAGCUCUGUUGAAUGGGAAGAAAAAAAUGACGGUACCAUUCGAGGAAGGACCGGCUAACUUCGUGCCAGCAGCCGCGGUAAUACGAGGGGUCCUAGCGUUGUUCGGAAUCAUUGGGCGUAAAGGGUGUGUAGGUGGCCAUGUAAGUCAGGUGUGAAAGCCCCGGGCUCAACCCGGGAAGUGCACUUGAUACUGCGUGGCUUGAGUACCGAAGAGGGUAGUGGAAUUCCAGGUGUAGUGGUGAAAUACGUAGAUAUCUGGAGGAACACCGGUGGCGAAGGCGGCUACCUGGUCGAGUACUGACACUGAGACACGAAAGCAUGGGGAUCAAACAGGAUUAGAAACCCCUGUAGUCC
This 428-nucleotide ribosomal RNA is filed under the name uncultured bacterium. RNAcentral describes it as "partial 16S ribosomal RNA". It matches the Rfam family "Bacterial small subunit ribosomal RNA", at positions 354 to 796 of the family's 1533-position model. The record is from RNAcentral.